Molecule: long non-coding RNA, 201 nt
Filed under: Sus scrofa (pig)
Lineage: Eukaryota; Metazoa; Chordata; Mammalia; Artiodactyla; Suidae
Description: lncRNA (ENSSSCG00070002973.1)
Source: RNAcentral
CCCGCAUAGUGCAGGCUUUGUGCUGGCCUUUGAGUACAUGCUGUCAGAUCUGGCUGAGGUGCUGCGCCAUGCCCAGAGGCCACUGGCCCAGGACCUGAAACCAGCCAACUUGCUAAUCAGCGCCUCACGCCAGCUCAAGAUAGCAGACUUUGGCCUGGCCUGGGGCCUUUUCCCCAGAUGGCUGCCGCCUCUACAUGCACC